CCAACAAAUUAUCCACUGCCCAAUUGCGCCCCCGCCUUCCUUCCCCACCGCUGUGCUCCCCUCUCCCCAUAGACGCCUCCUACCCUCUGACGCCGCCCCGCGCGAUGGACGCCAUCUCUCCCCUAUUUCCCUCUUCACCUCCACGGCCACGCCGCAUCGCCGGCCAAGCCCCGCUGCGGUGGCUAUGAUCCGCCACGCCGCCCCAUAGCCCCACACCCAAAGCUGCAGCCGAGAUGCAUCUGAGCGAGAACGAGGGGAUUGAGGGCGUGCGGUUCGCGGUGACUGUCGGGCAGGGCUUCGUCGGUGCCGCGCUAUGCCUGGAGCUGAUCCGCCGCGGCGCCCUGGAGGUCUGCUCCCUCGACAGCUCGACCUGCGCGAUUCCUCCGCUUGGUCCCAGCAGCUCCUCGACGCCGGCGUCCGCUUCUUACAAGGUUCUCUCCCUCACUCUCUUUUGCUUAAAUUAUUGUGUUUUUUUUCUGUCGCCAUGAGUGGGCGUGAGACUUAAAUGCAGCGUCGCAGCGAAGAAGGUAAUUUGUUUUUCUGUCCAAUGCAUUGAAGCUAUAAUGUACGUGCUUAGUAAAUUGUUUAGGGCGGUGUGAGACUUAUAAUGCCUGCCAACUUAGUGAAUUGAUAAACCUGGAAGUUUGUGUUUUUCACUUCACUUGAAUUUGCACAAUUCAGUUAUGUGUUCAUUGAAUGGAUUUGACAUGACAUUUCCUGCAAGCAAUGAGGGAAGUAGAUGGGCAUGGCUGAUUUGUUCGUCAUGCAGUUAUGUGCUAUCUUAUUCCUUGAUGCUGAGUGUGAGUCCAUGCAUGUGCAAGCUAUAUGUACUCUUAGUCUAUUAGUGUUCUCUAACUUAUUUCCUACUAUUCCUGUAUGGUACCACUUCUUCCCUAGCAAGGAUAUGUGAGCCUAUUAACCUUAUGUUGUCUGUCAAUGUCAGAUUUAGAACCCAACAAAGAAAUAUGGCAGAAAUUUGCAUAUUAACCUUUCUUGUGCAGGUUCGAGAUAUAAAGGUCAUACAGAUGCUUCUUUGCCAUGAGUCUGUAAACUUGAUGAGGCAACAUGGUCUUCAAGCACAAGAAAUACCCAUGUACGUGAGUGUGGGCUGCCGCUCCGCCCUCCACUCCUCUGCUUGACCACCGCCACCGCCACGUUGAAGCCCCUUGCCACCUAGCGGCAUGCUUUCUCGAGGAUCAGCAGCUAAUGGCAAACGCGCCAGCGAGCCCCGAGUGCGCUGGACCGUGCAACAUGAAGAAGACCAUCUGGACAAAGGGCAGGUACACGAAUAGCCAAGAACACAAGGAUACGUGCGGGUCUGCGUUUCUGAGGUAUAUCUCUUUUAGCACUAGCGACUAAAUGGUCUGUAGCUGGUCAGGCGUGCUUGCCUAAAAUGUACUUUAGUAGUUGCUAGAGCCAUGCUAGCUUCUAUGUUGUUCUUGCAGCCUCAACUAGCUUAUUUCAUUUGAAGCAAAUGUUGUUCUAUCCUUCCAAUUAAUGUUAUUCAGAUCUUCUUUUCUUUUUUCUAUUGUCAUUCACAAUACAAAUGUUAUGAGAAUUUCAGGAAUUUUGUCAUAUCUUUCUCCCAGUUACCUUAAUUUUGUAAAUUGUGGUCUAAUUCAAUUUUGAGUUUGUUUUCAGAAAAGCCUACUUUAAAGCUGUGUAAAUCCAUUAUUUCCUUUGAGUUUGCCGUGGAGGUGAGUUGGGAACCUUUUUUUAUACUUGGUGGAUGCACUGAUUUAGGGUGCGUUUGGUUAGGGAACGAAGUGGAAUGGAAUGUCAUGGUUCCGUUCUAGUAGAAUGGGUCGGUUCCAUCCUUGUGUUCGGUAUAUGCAAAUCUAAGGAAUGGAAUGGUUAUGUUUUAGUGUUUGGUUUCAGAUAUCUGAUGAAAUGGAUUUGUUCAUCCCUACACUUGUCUGCUUGUGAUUAUGUAGAAUAUAUUGAACUUUGAACUGGAUUUCAGUCAAUCAAAAACCAUCGGAUGCAUUGGCACACACAUAUGGGCAAGAUUAAGCUGAAUUAGAAAAGAGCGGUGCAUACACUGAAUCAGAUUUCAGAACACCAAAUACAGCUGGUUUCAGUCAAAUGGUUGAUCUCGGCAAGACAAAGACUGAAUUGGAUGGGGAGCUCAACAGUACAGGCCUUAGCCCCAAUCGUCGGCGCACUGGUUGGGCUCGCUGGGCGCCGGCACAGGACUGGAGACACCUGGGCGCGAAGACCACGCCGAGCGGUGCACAAGGCCGCACAGCUGCGCAUACUACAGAUCAACGCCGUCGCUCGCGGCCAUCCAGCGCGGCCGUCUCGUGAUGCAUGAGGCCAUGCAGGAGCUGCUCGUGCACUCUGGUACAAAUCUACGCCGCUGCCCUCCUCCAUUAGCCGCCGUCUCUUGGUGCCCGUCGUCGCUCGCCUCCAUCCAGCGCCGUCUUUCGGUGCCCGCCGUGGCUCGCCUCCAUCCAGCGCCAUCUCUCGGUGCCCGCCGUUGCUCUCCUCCCUCCAACGCCGCCUAUUGCUACCCGCUGCCACUCGUGUCGAGAGAGGGAGAGGCGAUAGAGUUGCGGGAGUGCGAGGAGAACGACCGGUUUCAUGUGGUCCGCUCGAGUUGGAAGUAUGAGCGUGUUCCGCAUCUGAGAGGAAUAUUUGGUUCGUGGGAACUAGUCGGUUACCGUUCCAGCUCUAUGCCAAACACCAGAACGGGGCCUAGAAACGGGUCCGACCCAUGACAUUCCAGUUGAUGACUGCAACCAAACACACCCUUAGUGACGGAGACUUGCCUGAAUGUUAUUUUCCUCCGCGUGAAGUGCUUACAAUUCUCAAAGACUUCAACAAGUCCCGGAGGAGAUUGACAAGGUGCAGGCAAGAUCUCAAGUUCAUUGCUGUCUUUUUCUGUCUGAACAUUUUCUUAUUUGGAGUUGCAGCCGAUUUAUGGUGUAUCAACCGACUUGGCUUAGGAUGUAUUGUAGUUAGUUUGGUUGCAUCAACCAACAAGUCUUAUUAUGUAUUGCUAUUGGUUUGGUACCAUCAGACGACUGGCCAGUUGGAAAACCAGCGGGGAAAACAUGUACUGUGAGCUCCCCUCGCAUUCAUAAUUUGGAGCUUGAUAAACAAUGUUCUGUGAGCUUGUUAAUGAUCUGCUAUUUUUCACAAAAUUGGGACAUGUCUGAUGGUCGAUGUGAGGUUCUCUAAAUAAAAAAAUUCCUCAUUUGUCCAUUCUGAUAGUCUGAUGGAAUUUUGUUAAUAAGAACCUACAAUUCCUUGGGUAAGUUUGGGUUAGGAGUUCCGUAUAUAUGCGCCAGGAAAGUAUAUAGGGAAAUCAUGAUAUGCUUUUUCUGCAGUGCCAACACUGAAAAUGUAAAGUGUGUCCUGCAUGACUUUUAUAUGUGUUUUAGGAAUUGGAGGAUAGCUCUAUAAACAAAAUUCCUUAUUCUGCACUUCUCUGCUUUGCUUGGCAGGAAUCCUUGUUGUAAAGAGCGAAGGCAUGGUUUGGUUUGCAUGACAUUAUCUUCAAUUGGCUGGAGAUAUAUAAAUGUUGAUACUUGAUUUUCUCAUCUGGCAUCUUAUCACUUGUGUGAAACACACUUGAUUUUCUCAUAGUAAUAGUUCUCUAUUAUUGCUGAUACAUAAAUGGAUCUUUAUUCAAUGGUACUUGUAUGUGUGUAUGGAGAAUGGUGAUUAACCUUUUAAAUAAUCCAUUGUCCAACAAGGUGAUUCUAAUUUCUGAUUAGAUUAUACUAUAACAAUAUGAUUAGAAAAAAUUCAAACGGUUGUAUA
Triticum urartu is the source of this 3768-nucleotide non-coding RNA. NCBI's taxonomy places the organism in Eukaryota, Viridiplantae, Streptophyta, Magnoliopsida, Poales, Poaceae. The record is from RefSeq and is a predicted model, not a curated record.